Molecule: ribosomal RNA, 977 nt
Filed under: human gut metagenome
Description: bacterial SSU rRNA
Rfam family: Bacterial small subunit ribosomal RNA
Source: RNAcentral
ACCGGCGCACGGGUGAGUAACGCGUAUCCAACCUGCCCUUUACUCGGGGAUAGCCUUCUGAAAGGAAGUUUAAUACCCGAUGAAUUCGUUUAGUCGCAUGGCUUGAUGAAGAAAGAUUUAUCAGUAAAGGAUGGGGAUGCGUCCCAUUAGCUUGUUGGCGGGGUAACGGCCCACCAAGGCGACGAUGGGUAGGGGUUCUGAGAGGAAGGUCCCCCACAUUGGAACUGAGACACGGUCCAAACUCCUACGGGAGGCAGCAGUGAGGAAUAUUGGUCAAUGGGCGCGAGCCUGAACCAGCCAAGUAGCGUGGAGGACGACGGCCCUACGGGUUGUAAACUCCUUUUAUAAGGGGAUAAAGUUGGCCAUGUAUGGCCAUUUGCAGGUACCUUAUGAAUAAGCAUCGGCUAAUUCCGUGCCAGCAGCCGCGGUAAUACGGAAGAUGCGAGCGUUAUCCGGAUUUAUUGGGUUUAAAGGGAGCGUAGGCGGGCAGUCAAGUCAGCGGUCAAAUGGCGCGGCUCAACCGCGAAAUUCCGCCGUUGAAACUGGCAGCCUUGAGUAUGCACAGGGUACAUGGAAUUCGUGGUGUAGCGGUGAAAUGCUUAGAUAUCACGAGGAACUCCGAUCGCGCAGGCAUUGUACCGGGGCAUUACUGACGCUGAGGCUCGAAGGUGCGGGUAUCAAACAGGAUUAGAUACCCUGGUAGUCCGCACAGUAAACGAUGAAUGCCCGCUGUCGGCGACAUAGUGUCGGCGGCCAAGCGAAAGCGUUAAGCAUUCCACCUGGGGAGUACGCCGGCAACGGUGAAACUCAAAGGAAUUGACGGGGGCCCGCACAAGCGGAGGAACAUGUGGUUUAAUUCGAUGAUACGCGAGGAACCUUACCCGGGCUUGAAUCGCAGGUGCAUGGGCCGGAGACGGCCCUUUCCUUCGGGACUCCUGCGAAGGUGCUGCAUGGUUGUCGUCAGCUCGUGCCGUGAG